RNAcentral lists this transfer RNA (88 nucleotides) under Candidatus Cloacimonadota bacterium. RNAcentral describes it as "tRNA-Leu". It matches the Rfam family "tRNA". From Rfam's summary of the family: Transfer RNA (tRNA) molecules are approximately 80 nucleotides in length. Their secondary structure includes four short double-helical elements and three loops (D, anti-codon, and T loops). Lineage: Bacteria; Pseudomonadati; Candidatus Cloacimonadota. The record is from RNAcentral.
GCCGGAGUGGUGGAAUUGGUAGACACAAGGGACUUAAAAUCCCUCGGGCUUAUAGUCCGUGCCGGUUCAAGUCCGGCCUCUGGUACCA